RNAcentral lists this ribosomal RNA (451 nucleotides) under uncultured bacterium. Its description in RNAcentral is "bacterial SSU rRNA". It matches the Rfam family "Bacterial small subunit ribosomal RNA", at positions 44 to 504 of the family's 1533-position model. The record is from RNAcentral.
GCGCCUUAUGCAUGCAAGUCGAGCGAAGCUUUUCAGUAGUUUACUACAGAAAAUGACUGAGCGGCGAACGGGUGAGUAACGCGUGAGCAAUCUACCUUAGUUACAGGGAUAGCCCGAGGAAACUCGGAUUAAUACCUGAUAUUCUUUAAAUUUCGCAUGAAAUUAAAAGGAAAGGUCAGCCGAACUAAGAUGAGCUCGCGUUCUAUCAGCUAGUUGGUGAGGUAAAAGCUCACCAAGGCUACGACGGAUAGCUGGUCUGAGAGGACGAUCAGCCACACUGGGACUGAGACACGGCCCAGACUCCUACGGGAGGCUGCAGCAGGGAAUAUUGCGCAAUGAGCGAAAGCUUGACGCAGCGACACCGCGUGUGGGAUGACGGAUCUAGGUUUGUAAACCACUUUCAGGAGGGAAGAAAAUGACGGUACCUCCACAAGAAGCCCCGGCCAACUAC